RNAcentral lists this non-coding RNA (879 nucleotides) under Lyonsia norwegica. RNAcentral's name for it is "12S ribosomal RNA". It matches the Rfam family "Bacterial small subunit ribosomal RNA". The record is from RNAcentral. Lineage: Eukaryota; Metazoa; Mollusca; Bivalvia; Lyonsiidae.
CCACAUUUGGUUCUGGUUUCAAGUUAAUUUCAUUAGCGGUAUUGCAUUGGUAGGGCAACCGGAUUGUGAGGGGGAUCGGGGGGGGCGCCGCCGCGGUAGACCCUCGCGCGCCUCCCCCCCCGAGAGGGGGGGUUUAGGAUACGAAAAUGCCCAAAGUAAUUCACAACUCCAGCAAAGAAAAUUAGGCAAUCAUUUAACGAUAGACCAAUAGUAUAAUUUACCGGGGGGGGCAAGGGAGUGCCAGCACCCGCGGUUACACUUCCCUCCCCAAGUUAACUUACACGAAAGCGCAAAUAUGGUGAGCUAGUGUAUUAUGCAAGCAGCCAAGACCAGGUAAGUGGUGUAAUGCCAAACCAGGAUCUGGGGCCUAACCUGCUUGUACUCUCAUACCAGAAAUCUAGGGUAGGGACCGGGAUUAGAUACCCCGUUACUCCUAGGCGUAAAUGGAUUGCCGGGGGACUACGAGCUUUAGCUUAAAACCCAAAGAACUUGGCGGUAAUGAAAAUCAGCCCAGGGGAGCGUGACGGUUAAUUCGAUGAUCCGCGAUUACCUCACCUUUUUUUGUAAAAAACAGUUUGUAUACCGCCGUUGGAAGUCUAUCUUUCAAAAGAAUGGGAAUAGGCCUAACCUCCCCCCCCCCCGGGGGGGCGAGAGGACAACAGGUAAACGUGCAACCUAUAAAAAGGGCUUAGUUUCGCUACAAUUAGUAUAAUAAUACGGAGCCCCCCCUGAAAAGGGGGGGGGAAGGCGGACUUGGCAGUAGGCCCCUCAAUUAAAAGGGCCCGAACGGGUGCUUCAUUGCGUACAAAUCGCCCGUCGCUCGCGGAUAAAAAAACUGGGAUAAGUCGUAACAUAGUAGGGGUACCGGAAGGUGCCCCU